This 93-nucleotide ribosomal RNA is filed under the name Pseudomonas putida. RNAcentral's name for it is "partial 16S ribosomal RNA". The record is from RNAcentral. Lineage: Bacteria; Pseudomonadati; Pseudomonadota; Gammaproteobacteria; Pseudomonadales; Pseudomonadaceae. RNAcentral also lists the same sequence under 10 other names.
UGAGCCAAGUUUAGGGUUUCUUAAAAACCCAAGCAGUAUUGAACUGAAGAGUUUGAUCAUGGCUCAGAUUGAACGCUGGCGGCAGGCCUAACA